AUGUGGCCUGUGUCUCUGCUGAGUGAUAGAGCUAUCAUGAGCUGUGCUGCUGUGUGUGCUCCAAGAAAAGGAGGAGAGAAAACAGCAUGGAGGUGGAGGAGAAACGGGAGAUCAUCUGAAAUCUGCAUGGAUGAAAGUGGGACUGUGCCCCCCAACCUGGUGACUCCUCUCCACUUGUACUGGGCAGCAAAAGGAAAGGAUGAUCACUGUGCCUCGUGAAGUUCCACAUUGCUCCGGAUUUCAGAGACAGAUGCUGCUUCGUGUACCCAGGACCUGUUUCAAAUUCAGCUAAUUCAGGUAACUUUCUGGCAGGAUUUGCACGCUUCUUAAUUUUUGAAUGCUUUUUAAACUUUUGUUUCAAUCAAAAUCAUUCCAUGUUUUUGAGAUCCACAAAUAAAGUAGGCAUUAAAAAAGAAUAUUGCA
Molecule: long non-coding RNA, 423 nt
Filed under: Phasianus colchicus (ring-necked pheasant)
Lineage: Eukaryota; Metazoa; Chordata; Aves; Galliformes; Phasianidae
Description: lncRNA (ENSPCLG00000011566.1)
Source: RNAcentral